RNAcentral lists this long non-coding RNA (2725 nucleotides) under Androctonus crassicauda. The record is from RNAcentral. Lineage: Eukaryota; Metazoa; Arthropoda; Arachnida; Scorpiones; Buthidae.
CAUCCGUCAUAAAAACGUCAUUUUCAUUUUUGUUAAACAAAUAAGUAUAUAUAUAAUUUGUUUAGUCUUUUGUUAAUGACAUUUUUUUAUUAAAACUGUUCGGAUCUGUUUUUAUUUUUUAUUCGAAAUAAUCGGCUAAUUAAAAUUUACACCAAUGGUUCCGAUCCAGCCUGUUUCAGACUUUCAGGAAAGUGCGCCGUAUCAUAUUUUGAUAUAAAGGCUAAGAAAAUUUAGUAGUACGUAGACUCUCGACACUUACCAUCUUACUCGAAAACCCUAAAAUUUUCAAAUUUGCUCUUUAUUUUUUCUAAGAAAAUAUGGUAAAUUUGAAACUACCCAGCAGUACAGGAACAACGCGCAUUCGGUAGUUUCGAAAUAACAAUAACAACAGUUCUAUACUACGUGGUUCCUGUCUUUUCUUUGAGCAGGCCAGCAUUUGGCCACUAACAUAUUUCCUUUUAGCUCCAGUUCAGGUUCGUAACUCGCAGAAAAAUAGGAAAAACCACCUUUUCUCCAUCUUGUAUUAUUCGAGUGGCGCUUAAAGUAUUCCGAGCUUACUUUCACUGUAAACGUAUUUAUAGUUUGUAGCCGGGUCACCAUAAUCUAACACUUAUUCUGUCCACCAGGUGUGAUUUGUUUUCCGUCUCUCAGAUGCCGUAAUGUCAGGUGACAGCGGUGAGUGUUUCCCACCAAAUCCAUCAAUUUGCCUGCCUCGGGAAAAUAAACGGAAUAGAAACCGAGGUAAAUUAUAUACUAGGUACCACUUAGCGCGUUUACUUCCAGUUUUUCUUCUACUAGCGUUUUUGAGAACUUUUUCCCGUUAUCGUCGACCGAAAACCUCCCUCCCACGCCUAGUAUUUCCGUUAGUUCCCGGACAGGUACGAGACGAUGGGAGACCAGAAAACCCGUAUGGUGGUUUAUCGAGUGGAUGUUGGCCCAAUCUUUUCCGUCUUAAAAACUCAUUGGAGGGAUAAUUUUUUAAUAACGGCUAAAAGAUGAUUAUCCCGCCGAUAUACGGACUUCCUGGGAAUGGGAUAAUAUUUUAAUUAAAAGCGCCACCCUACACUUUUCUCUAUUCUAAAAGGAAAAAUGUAGUAGAUAAAAGCUAGAGAAAAUACCAUUGCCCAACCACGGUUUAAAACCAAAAUACGCUGUGUACAUCUCAAAAAUAAAGUCGGCAAUUAUAAAAAACGUGGUAUGAUUCUCUGGUUAUCGUAUCGCGCCCUACUCGACGCACUUUCUACCUAUCUGGCAGAAUAUCGGAUCCUCUCGGCCUUCCGGGUUUCCCGGAAGAGGCGCUGAUUAUUUAUCCGGGUAGCGGUAGACCGAGGCCGAGGAAAACCAACCAUACCGGCCGGAAAUGACGGUCCACCAAAAAACAUAUACAGUAGUAUAUGCCAAUUCGGAUUAAUCGUAUCGCUUUCCUUUCGCUGAUCUCCGUGGUCGCCUGCGUUUAUAUAAACGCUCUAGUUUUCUAGGGUAAAGUCGGCGCACCCGCCACCCGAGUAAAUUCCAUAAUACGUUACCAUUCCGGGAACAUUCGGGCGGAAGGAGCUAGGCCGUCCCCUCUGGCCCGUCCGAUCCAACUCGGAUGGAAGACCCUUCUCGGGUAGCCGGUGAUGGGUAGGGUGGGUAGAAAGGGUAGGACCGGCCGGUCCUUACCGCCCCAUCUAGGUGGACGGAGGGACCUCCCGUAGGACGGAAAAUGUCUGUCUGUUUAUUUGGGCAGAAUUUUUUCCGCGCUGGAAAGGCCGUAAUACGGCUGAAGCGGCAGUGCCGGAAAUGGACGGGCCAUCUCCCCUUUACUUCCGGCGGAAAAUAAAACGGAAAAGCGUCGGCGUAAAAUGCCAUUUUUCCAUCUUCGAGACAAAUUUGGCAGUCUCUCCUUUCUUUCUUCGGUUUCCCCCAGCGGACGAAAUCUUUACUAAGGAAAAUUUUCCCGUAAUUCGGAAGGUCGGAUACCCACCAAACAUUUUCCGUCUUUCGAAAACCUAUUCGGUACGAUAAAUUGGUGGUUGUUAUAUCCUUUUUCGCCCCGCUUAGGCGCUUGGCGGUCUUCCUUUUAUACAAAAAACUGCUGUAUCCAUCGGUAGCCCGGGCUUUUCCGCAUCUAGCGCUAUCGGGCCGUCUCUCUCCGACCUAUUUCUUCUUCCGCCGCUACCGGUAUUACGGGAAGAUGGGUGCCCCGACGGUAGGCUAACACCAAAUUUUUUGAAGGCGCGUUAUCUAUUCUGCCGGGGUUAUUCCCCCUUUCGUUCGUCCUCCGACACGCGCACUCGAUUGGCUCUACUGUAUUUUACUUUUCCCGUUAUUCUACCUAUUAUCGAAUAAAACUUGCCGGUGAAUGGCCCGUGUUAUUUUCCUCUCUGGGUUUUGGGUGAACGUCGAGUUUUACUGGAACGAAAAUAAACAAUAAUUUAUAGAAAUACUUAUAUUUAAAAAUCAAUCGAGACUUUCCGCCUCCAUUUAGAAUCGAGUCUUAUCGAUUUUAUUCGUCUACAUUUCAUAUUUCGACAAUAUCGACUGGAUUCUUUCUCCGUCACGCCAGCCAUUUUUCAGCCAUCUCUAAAAACCUCGAUGGUUUUUAGGUCUCUAAUCACCCGACAUUUCCCACCACCGAGGCGGGAAAUGCCACGUGAUUAGAGACCAUUGGCGUAUAUGUCAUAUUUUUUCCGUUUUUUGACACGUACUUUCUGGUCGGGCCAUAUACAACGGUCGCCGUCCC